AAGUUUGGACAAUGGGGGAAACCCUGAUCCAGCCAUCCCGCGUGUAUGAUGAAGGCCUUCGGGUUGUAAAGUACUUUUGGCAGAGAAGAAAAGGUAUCGCCUAAUACGGGAUACGGCUGACGGUAUCUGCCGAAUACGCACCGUCUAACUACGUCACGGCCGCCGCGGUAACACGUAGGGUGCAAGCGUUAAGCGGAAUUACUGGGAGUAAAGAGUGUGUAGGCGGUUCGGAAAGAGAGAUGUGAAAUCCCAGGGAUCAACCUUGGAACUGCAUUUUUAACUGCCGAGCUAGAGUAUGUCAGAGGGGGGUAGAAUUCCACGUGUAGCAGUGAAAUGCGUAGAUAUGUGGAGGAAUACCGAUGGCGAAGGCAGCCCCUGGGAUAAUACUGACGCUCAGACACGAAAGCGUGGGGAGCAAACAGG
RNAcentral lists this ribosomal RNA (423 nucleotides) under uncultured bacterium. RNAcentral's name for it is "partial 16S ribosomal RNA". It matches the Rfam family "Bacterial small subunit ribosomal RNA", at positions 359 to 776 of the family's 1533-position model. The record is from RNAcentral.